UACAGAGGGUGCAAGCGUUGUUCGGAUUCAUUGGGUGUAAAGGGUCCGUAGGUGGUCGAGCAAGUCUGAUGUGAAAUCCCAUGGCUUAACCGUGGAACUGCAUUGGAAACUGCCCGACUUGAGUACCGCAGAGGUGAAGGGAAUUCCCGGUGUAAGGGUGAAAUCUGUAGAUAUCGGGAGGAACACCAGUGGCGAAGGCGCUUCACUGGGCGGUUACUGACGCUGAGGGACGAAAGCAAGGGGAGCAAACAGG
This 253-nucleotide ribosomal RNA is filed under the name uncultured bacterium. RNAcentral's name for it is "partial 16S ribosomal RNA". It matches the Rfam family "Bacterial small subunit ribosomal RNA", at positions 524 to 776 of the family's 1533-position model. The record is from RNAcentral.